UUCCGGUUGAUCCUGCCGGAGGCGACCGCUUUUGGAGUUCGAUUAAGCCAUGCGAGUAGAAAGAAAUUAGAUUCUUUGCGAACUGCUCAGUAACACGUGGAUAACCUGCCCUAUGCUCUGGGAUAACCUCGGGAAACUGAGAAUAAUACCCCAUAGUCCACUACGCCUGGAACGGUGAGUGGAUCAAAGCUCCGGCGGCAUAGGAUGGGCCUGCGGCGUAUCAGGUUGUAGGGGGUGUAAUGUACCCUCUAGCCAUCCACGCGUACGGGUGUUGGGAGACAUUGCCCGGAGAUGGAUUCUGAGACACGAAUCCAGACCCUACGGGGUGCAGCAGGCGCGAAAACUUGGCAAUGCGAGAAAUCGUGACCAGGGAACUCCAAGUGGCAGGGGUAAGACCCUGUCUUUUUCCGACUCUAAAUAGGUCGGCGAAUAAGGGGUGGGUAAGGACGGUGCCAGCCGCCGCGGUAAUACCGGCGCCUCAAGUGGUAGUCGCUUUUAUUGGGCCUAAAACGUCCGUAGCCGGUCUGGUACAUUCGUGGGUAAAUCAACUCGCUUAACGAGUUGAAUUCUGCGAGGACGGCCAGACUUGGGACCGGGAGAGGUGUGGGGUACUCUCAGGGUAGGGGUAAAAUCCUGUCAUCCUGAGAGGACCACCUGUUGCGAAGGCUCCACACUAGAACGGAUCCGACGGUCAGGGACGAAGCCUAGGGGCACGAACCGGAUUAGAUACCCGGGUAGUCCUAGGUGUAAACGCUGUGGACUUGAUGUUGGGGACGCUCCGAGCGUUCUCAGUGUCGAAGCGAAGGUGAUAAGUCCACUGCCUGGGGAGUACGGUCGCAAGGCUGAAACUUAAAGGAAUUGGCGGGGGAGCACCGCAACCUGAGGAUUGUGCGGUUUAAUUGGAUUCAACGCCGGA
Molecule: ribosomal RNA, 916 nt
Filed under: uncultured archaeon
Lineage: Archaea
Description: bacterial SSU rRNA
Rfam family: Archaeal small subunit ribosomal RNA
Source: RNAcentral